RNAcentral lists this ribosomal RNA (501 nucleotides) under uncultured bacterium. RNAcentral describes it as "partial 16S ribosomal RNA". It matches the Rfam family "Bacterial small subunit ribosomal RNA", at positions 29 to 507 of the family's 1533-position model. The record is from RNAcentral.
ACGCACGCUGGCGGCGUGCUUCACACAUGCCAGUCGAACGGUGAAGGGGUCUGCUUUUGUGGGCCCUGGAUGAGUGGCGAACGGGUGAGUAACACGUGAGUAACCUGCCCCCUUCUUCUGGAUAACCGCAUGAAAGUGUGGCUAAUACGGGAUAUUCUGGGUCUGUCGCAUGAUGGGUCUGGGAAAGAUUGCGCCUUUGGGUGUUUUUGGUGGGGGAUGGGCUCGCGGCCUAUCAGCUUGUUGGUGGGGUGAUGGCCUACCAAGGCGGUGACGGGUAGCCGGCCUGAGAGGGUGGACGGUCACACUGGGACUGAGACACGGCCCAGACUCCUACGGGAGGCAGCAGUGGGGAAUAUUGCACAAUGGGCGCAAGCCUGAUGCAGCGACGCCGCGUGAGGGAUGGAGGCCUUCGGGUUGUAAACCUCUUUCGCCAGUGAAGCAGGCCUGCUCCUUGUGGGUGGGUUGACGGUAGCUGGAUAAGAAGCGCCGGCUAACUACGUG